AGAGUUUGAUCAUGGCUCAGAUUGAACGCUGGCGGCAGGCCUAACACAUGCAAGUCGAGCGGUAGCACAGAGAGCUUGCUCUCGGGUGACGAGCGGCGGACGGGUGAGUAAUGUCUGGGAAACUGCCUGAUGGAGGGGGAUAACUACUGGAAACGGUAGCUAAUACCGCAUAACGUCGCAAGACCAAAGUGGGGGACCUUCGGGCCUCAUGCCAUCAGAUGUGCCCAGAUGGGAUUAGCUAGUAGGUGGGGUAACGGCUCACCUAGGCGACGAUCCCUAGCUGGUCUGAGAGGAUGACCAGCCACACUGGAACUGAGACACGGUCCAGACUCCUACGGGAGGCAGCAGUGGGGAAUAUUGCACAAUGGGCGCAAGCCUGAUGCAGCCAUGCCGCGUGUGUGAAGAAGGCCUUCGGGUUGUAAAGCACUUUCAGCGGGGAGGAAGGCGUUAAGGUUAAUAACCUCAUCGAUUGACGUUACCCGCAGAAGAAGCACCGGCUAACUCCGUGCCAGCAGCCGCGGUAAUACGGAGGGUGCAAGCGUUAAUCGGAAUUACUGGGCGUAAAGCGCACGCAGGCGGUCUGUCAAGUCGGAUGUGAAAUCCCCGGGCUCAACCUGGGAACUGCAUUCGAAACUGGCAGGCUAGAGUCUUGUAGAGGGGGGUAGAAUUCCAGGUGUAGCGGUGAAAUGCGUAGAGAUCUGGAGGAAUACCGGUGGCGAAGGCGGCCCCCUGGACAAAGACUGACGCUCAGGUGCGAAAGCGUGGGGAGCAAACAGGAUUAGAUACCCUGGUAGUCCACGCCGUAAACGAUGUCGAUUUGGAGGUUGUGCCCUUGAGGCGUGGCUUCCGGAGCUAACGCGUUAAAUCGACCGCCUGGGGAGUACGGCCGCAAGGUUAAAACUCAAAUGAAUUGACGGGGGCCCGCACAAGCGGUGGAGCAUGUGGUUUAAUUCGAUGCAACGCGAAGAACCUUACCUGGUCUUGACAUCCACAGAACUUUCCAGAGAUGGAUUGGUGCCUUCGGGAACUGUGAGACAGGUGCUGCAUGGCUGUCGUCAGCUCGUGUUGUGAAAUGUUGGGUUAAGUCCCGCAACGAGCGCAACCCUUAUCCUUUGUUGCCAGCGGUUCGGCCGGGAACUCAAAGGAGACUGCCAGUGAUAAACUGGAGGAAGGUGGGGAUGACGUCAAGUCAUCAUGGCCCUUACGACCAGGGCUACACACGUGCUACAAUGGCAUAUACAAAGAGAAGCGACCUCGCGAGAGCAAGCGGACCUCAUAAAGUAUGUCGUAGUCCGGAUUGGAGUCUGCAACUCGACUCCAUGAAGUCGGAAUCGCUAGUAAUCGUAGAUCAGAAUGCUACGGUGAAUACGUUCCCGGGCCUUGUACACACCGCCCGUCACACCAUGGGAGUGGGUUGCAAAAGAAGUAGGUAGCUUAACCUUCGGGAGGGCGCUUACCACUUUGUGAUUCAUGACUGGGGUGAAGUCGUAACAAGGUAACCGUAGGGGAACCUGCGGUUG
Molecule: ribosomal RNA, 1520 nt
Filed under: Klebsiella pneumoniae
Lineage: Bacteria; Pseudomonadati; Pseudomonadota; Gammaproteobacteria; Enterobacterales; Enterobacteriaceae
Description: bacterial SSU rRNA
Rfam family: Bacterial small subunit ribosomal RNA
Source: RNAcentral